GACGCUGCCCUCGCCCUCCACGAGGUUCUGAAAGGAAGACGGGAUCGGAGGGACUGCAACGCUCACGACGCCUUCCAGCAUGCGAACGACCUGCCCCAUCGACGGCCGGUCGCCCUCAUCGUCCUGUACGCACCAGCAGGCGACUCUGCAGGCGACGUCCAGCUCCUCCACAUCCGCGUCUCCUCCCAGCCUACUGUCCAGCAGGCACAGCACGUCUCCCUCGCUCACCCGCGCCGCCGCGUGGAGAGGGAAGUACCGGUGGCUCCCGGACCCGGACCUCAGCCUCGCCGUGCUCCUCCUCCCCGAGACGAUCUCGAGGAGCACGAUGCCGAAGCUGUAGACGUCCGCCUUCCUCGUGACCGGCCGCCCGGAGAUCCACUCCGGCGCGAGGUACCCCAUGGUGCCCCGGACGGUGGUCAGCGCCGAGUCGAACUCGCGCCCGAGGAGCUUCGCCAUGCCGAAGUCGGCGAUCUUGGCGCGGAGCUCCGAGUCCAGCAGGAUGUUCUCGGGCUUGAUGUCGCAGUGUAUGAUGCGGUCCUCGCACUCCUCGUGGAGGUAGGCGAUGCCCUUCGCGAUGCCGAGCGCGAUCUGGUAGCGGAGGCUCCAGCUCAGACGAGCGGAUCUCUCCGAGAAGAGGUGCGCGUCCAGAGACCCGUUCGGCAUGUACUCGUAGACCAGCAGCCUCGUGUCUCCUCUAACGCAGAAGCCCAGGAGGCGGACGAGGUUGGCGUGCUUGAUCACCCCGAGCGUCUGCACCUCGGCUCUGAACUGCUUGUCCGCCUGCCCGCUGCGUUUGAGCCUCUUCACGGCGACGGCGGUUGGUCCUGCCAUUGUUCCCCUGAAAACGCUUCCAAACCCUCCCUCGCCGAGUUUGUCGGAGAAGUUCCUUGUAGCCUUCUUCAUCUGCGCGUAAGAGUAGAACGCGAGAGAACCUCCUGCUUCAAACUCUCUGCGACUGCAAGUAAAUACACCUCUCCAGGUCCGGGAUCGCCAUAGGAGCGCCAGUAUCACUAUCACGGCAGCCAACGCUACUGACCCGACCACCAUGGAUACAAUCAGCCCUGUGCGCAGACCACUCUUGGGCCUGAGCUUGGAGCCCCAACGAACAUAAACCUUGCUGUAUGGAGGAGGUCCUCUGGAAGCGAAGCUCAGGUUGUACAGGUUGUAGUACCACAGCUUGCAUCCGGAGUGAUACGCAUACGCGACGCAGUAGCAUCUGCUGAGACAGGCUUGUUUGCAGUCUUCAUCAGUUGCUGCUAAACCAUCCUGGGGAUUAUACGGGAGCCCCUGCAGCUUGUCUAGCAGGAUAAAGGAGUCGUCUUGUUCAGUCUGGCCGUUCGUCUGGCAGCUCAGCGGAAGAGAUCUCGGUCUCGAGCAACCGGUUGCGAAGUAUCCGAGGCUCCACUCCGCUGGAUAGGAAGGCUCAAAUCCGCGGACACAGCUGCAUUCUCCAUUGCUCCUGCAAGCACCAAAGCUACCGCAGAAGAAGCCACUGGAUUUGCAAUCCGACGGGAAGGUCCAGCGAGCCACCCAGCCACUGCUGUUCGUGUUCGCCGCUGCAGACCACCGCAUCAGGCUCACUUGCCCCAGGCUGAACUGCAAGAACUCGGUCAGGUUAGAGCUGUCCGGAGGAGGGUUCAGCACCAGCGAGGUGCCGUUGUCCUGUGACGUCACCAUCCAGUCCGGGAAGGUCCCCAGGCUGCUGGGAUGCCCGUCGGUGCUGAGCACGAAGCCGUUCCUCCUGCUCGGGUCCACGCUGAGGCUGCCGUUGUGCGAGAAGUCCCUGUACGUCAGCGAGACGUUGGCCCCCGUUCCCGCGGCGAGCCCCAGCCGGGCGCCGGGGAGCAGCGAGUCGCCGGGGUAGUCGAAGCUCUGCCACAGCACCCGCGACGAUGCGUCGUCGGCCUGGUCCCUCACCACCAGGUUGCCGUUGCCGAGGAGCACCGCGGCUGCGGCGGCGGACGGCGGCGGGGGCCCCGGCCCGGCUCCCGCGACGGACGAGCACCAGAGGGUAGACCCGGCCUCCGUGAUGCACAGACUGCCGCCGAAGACCUCCAGCGCCGCGGCUGAGAUGUCGGAGAUGACCACCCUGUCCCCGACCCAGAACGUGGGGCUGGUGCCCGGCAUCUUCUUGAAGCGGACGCCGAGGAAGCGGUGGAUGCCGGCGCCCGGCAAGAAGAAGCCCAGCUCGAAGUCGCCGUUCUUGGACACCAGCGUCUGGUUCCCGGAGAUGCCCGCGCCCGGGAGGAUGGUGUCCGUCACCGAAGCAGCGACUGCCAGUGCCAGCAGCAGGACGAUGGAGAAGAGGAAGGUGGGCGUCGCGCACCCACGAGGCCCCGACGGGGAGCAGCUACGCUUUGGUGCCUCCAUUGCGGUACCGGGCAUCACUUGCAGGGGGGGACGAGCACGAACACGGCAGGGAAGAAGAAGUCACCAGCGAGGUGAGCAAGAAUGAAUGAGGUGACCUGAAGCUGAGUGCUCGUGCUGCCGUACACGAUAGCUCCGAGCUCCGGCGAGAACUGCCGCCUCGCCUUUGACCAAGCCUUUUACUUUAGUGCGACUUCACCGCUGGAUCUCCGACCUCGCGCCACGCCACGCCACGCCGUCGUUUCUCUUUGACUCCCUCAGAAAAAUGACACGGGAGGAACAGGUUAGCAAUGAAUGCCGCGACUGGAUUUUUCUCCUCCGACGGAUGUGUGCACGUUUCUAAAAUCUAGACUAGCUAGUGUAUCCUUAUGACCUUUUGGAAAAGUUGUGG
This 2758-nucleotide unclassified non-coding RNA is filed under the name Zea mays. Its description in RNAcentral is "misc RNA Zm00001eb338930". Lineage: Eukaryota; Viridiplantae; Streptophyta; Magnoliopsida; Poales; Poaceae. The record is from RNAcentral.